GGAUUGUGGUUCAUCGGUAGAGCGCUCGCCUAGCACGUGCGAGGCCCUGGGUUCGAUCCACAGCACCA
RNAcentral lists this transfer RNA (68 nucleotides) under Marmota monax (woodchuck). RNAcentral's name for it is "tRNA.Ala". The record is from RNAcentral. Lineage: Eukaryota; Metazoa; Chordata; Mammalia; Rodentia; Sciuridae.